GACGAACGCUGGCGGCGUGCCUAAUACAUGCAAGUAGAACGCUGAAGGAGGAGCUUGCUUCUCCGGAUGAGUUGCGAACGGGUGAGUAACGCGUAGGUAACCUGCCUGGUAGCGGGGGAUAACUAUUGGAAACGAUAGCUAAUACCGCAUAAGAGUAGAUGUUGCAUGACAUUUGCUUAAAAGGUGCAAUUGCAUCACUACCAGAUGGACCUGCGUUGUAUUAGCUAGUUGGCGGGGUAACGGCUCACCAAGGCGACGAUACAUAGCCGACCUGAGAGGGUGAUCGGCCACACUGGGACUGAGACACGGCCCAGACUCCUACGGGAGGCAGCAGUAGGGAAUCUUCGGCAAUGGACGGAAGUCUGACCGAGCAACGCCGCGUGAGUGAAGAAGGUUUUCGGAUCGUAAAGCUCUGUUGUAAGAGAAGAACGAGUGUGAGAGUGGAAAGUUCACACUGUGACGGUAUCUUACCAGAAAGGGACGGCUAACUACGUGCCAGCAGCCGCGGUAAUACGUAGGUCCCGAGCGUUGUCCGGAUUUAUUGGGCGUAAAGCGAGCGCAGGCGGUUAGAUAAGUCUGAAGUUAAAGGCUGUGGCUUAACCAUAGUACGCUUUGGAAACUGUUUAACUUGAGUGCAAGAGGGGAGAGUGGAAUUCCAUGUGUAGCGGUGAAAUGCGUAGAUAUAUGGAGGAACACCGGUGGCGAAAGCGGCUCUCUGGCUUGUAACUGACGCUGAGGCUCGAAAGCGUGGGGAGCAAACAGG
This 763-nucleotide ribosomal RNA is filed under the name uncultured Streptococcus sp. RNAcentral describes it as "bacterial SSU rRNA". It matches the Rfam family "Bacterial small subunit ribosomal RNA", at positions 28 to 776 of the family's 1533-position model. The record is from RNAcentral. Lineage: Bacteria; Bacillati; Bacillota; Bacilli; Lactobacillales; Streptococcaceae.